UCUCUCACAGGAUGUAGAAAGGUAUCAAAAGCCAAAAAACAUUCUAUGUAGCUAUUUUAUAUUUUCUAAUCACAAUAACAUUUAGCUAACAUGAACUUAAACUGUAAAUUUCAAAGUUACAUAUUAUGUAUAGCUUACAUAUUUCAUAGGAUGCUUAUCCUCAACUUUGGAUACAUCUUAUCUGAAGAAUGUGUUCUCCCCAGAAAAAUACGUAGCAUGUCUAAUUCUGUGCCAAAUACUAUAUAUGUGUAAGUUCCACAAAGCAAAAAUAUCAAGUAUUUCUCAAGAGACAUUUACAUCUAAAAAUACUGUUUUAAUUCUGAAUUGAUUGCCCUGAAAGCAUGUGUAAUUUGCCUUAAAUAUUAGGUAGGUUAGAGAAAGUCUUUAAGCAGGGACUGAUCUUUGUGCUUGUUUGUUCUCAUGACUGACAUGACCUGGAACUUGUAAAAACUCAGAAUAUUCUUUAUUUGCAUGUAUUUUGUAAUAAAAGUAUUAUUUAUCUUGCCUAUUAUGUAAUAAAACCAUGACUAAUAAUGUAUGAAGAAUGAGAGAACAGUUUGGUGUUAAGGUAAAGAAUUACUGUCCACUGUAUAUUUCAGAGCCUAUAAUGCCAUUCAUAAGUUGCAGAACUCAACUGUCUAGGUGAGUUUAGUGUAUUUCUAGAAUAGUUUAUCUUAAAAUAUUCUUCAUGGUGAACAAUCAGC
This 704-nucleotide long non-coding RNA is filed under the name Homo sapiens (human). RNAcentral describes it as "HSALNT0061535". The record is from RNAcentral. Lineage: Eukaryota; Metazoa; Chordata; Mammalia; Primates; Hominidae.